Molecule: ribosomal RNA, 2931 nt
Filed under: Escherichia coli
Lineage: Bacteria; Pseudomonadati; Pseudomonadota; Gammaproteobacteria; Enterobacterales; Enterobacteriaceae
Description: 23S ribosomal RNA
Rfam family: Bacterial large subunit ribosomal RNA
Source: RNAcentral
GGGUUGUGAGGUUAAGCGACUAAGCGUACACGGUGGAUGCCCUGGCAGUCAGAGGCGAUGAAGGACGUGCUAAUCUGCGAUAAGCGUCGGUAAGGUGAUAUGAACCGUUAUAACCGGCGAUUUCCGAAUGGGGAAACCCAGUGUGUUUCGACACACUAUCAUUAACUGAAUCCAUAGGUUAAUGAGGCGAACCGGGGGAACUGAAACAUCUAAGUACCCCGAGGAAAAGAAAUCAACCGAGAUUCCCCCAGUAGCGGCGAGCGAACGGGGAGGAGCCCAGAGCCUGAAUCAGUGUGUGUGUUAGUGGAAGCGUCUGGAAAGGCGCGCGAUACAGGGUGACAGCCCCGUACACAAAAAUGCACAUAUUGUGAGCUCGAUGAGUAGGGCGGGACACGUGGUAUCCUGUCUGAAUAUGGGGGGACCAUCCUCCAAGGCUAAAUACUCCUGACUGACCGAUAGUGAACCAGUACCGUGAGGGAAAGGCGAAAAGAACCCCGGCGAGGGGAGUGAAAAAGAACCUGAAACCGUGUACGUACAAGCAGUGGGAGCACGCUUAGGCGUGUGACUGCGUACCUUUUGUAUAAUGGGUCAGCGACUUAUAUUCUGUAGCAAGGUUAACCGAAUAGGGGAGCCGAAGGGAAACCGAGUCUUAACUGGGCGUUAAGUUGCAGGGUAUAGACCCGAAACCCGGUGAUCUAGCCAUGGGCAGGUUGAAGGUUGGGUAACACUAACUGGAGGACCGAACCGACUAAUGUUGAAAAAUUAGCGGAUGACUUGUGGCUGGGGGUGAAAGGCCAAUCAAACCGGGAGAUAGCUGGUUCUCCCCGAAAGCUAUUUAGGUAGCGCCUCGUGAAUUCAUCUCCGGGGGUAGAGCACUGUUUCGGCAAGGGGGUCAUCCCGACUUACCAACCCGAUGCAAACUGCGAAUACCGGAGAAUGUUAUCACGGGAGACACACGGCGGGUGCUAACGUCCGUCGUGAAGAGGGAAACAACCCAGACCGCCAGCUAAGGUCCCAAAGUCAUGGUUAAGUGGGAAACGAUGUGGGAAGGCCCAGACAGCCAGGAUGUUGGCUUAGAAGCAGCCAUCAUUUAAAGAAAGCGUAAUAGCUCACUGGUCGAGUCGGCCUGCGCGGAAGAUGUAACGGGGCUAAACCAUGCACCGAAGCUGCGGCAGCGACGCUUAUGCGUUGUUGGGUAGGGGAGCGUUCUGUAAGCCUGCGAAGGUGUGCUGUGAGGCAUGCUGGAGGUAUCAGAAGUGCGAAUGCUGACAUAAGUAACGAUAAAGCGGGUGAAAAGCCCGCUCGCCGGAAGACCAAGGGUUCCUGUCCAACGUUAAUCGGGGCAGGGUGAGUCGACCCCUAAGGCGAGGCCGAAAGGCGUAGUCGAUGGGAAACAGGUUAAUAUUCCUGUACUUGGUGUUACUGCGAAGGGGGGACGGAGAAGGCUAUGUUGGCCGGGCGACGGUUGUCCCGGUUUAAGCGUGUAGGCUGGUUUUCCAGGCAAAUCCGGAAAAUCAAGGCUGAGGCGUGAUGACGAGGCACUACGGUGCUGAAGCAACAAAUGCCCUGCUUCCAGGAAAAGCCUCUAAGCAUCAGGUAACAUCAAAUCGUACCCCAAACCGACACAGGUGGUCAGGUAGAGAAUACCAAGGCGCUUGAGAGAACUCGGGUGAAGGAACUAGGCAAAAUGGUGCCGUAACUUCGGGAGAAGGCACGCUGAUAUGUAGGUGAAGUCCCUUGCGGAUGGAGCUGAAAUCAGUCGAAGAUACCAGCUGGCUGCAACUGUUUAUUAAAAACACAGCACUGUGCAAACACGAAAGUGGACGUAUACGGUGUGACGCCUGCCCGGUGCCGGAAGGUUAAUUGAUGGGGUCAGCGCAAGCGAAGCUCUUGAUCGAAGCCCCGGUAAACGGCGGCCGUAACUAUAACGGUCCUAAGGUAGCGAAAUUCCUUGUCGGGUAAGUUCCGACCUGCACGAAUGGCGUAAUGAUGGCCAGGCUGUCUCCACCCGAGACUCAGUGAAAUUGAACUCGCUGUGAAGAUGCAGUGUACCCGCGGCAAGACGGAAAGACCCCGUGAACCUUUACUAUAGCUUGACACUGAACAUUGAGCCUUGAUGUGUAGGAUAGGUGGGAGGCUUUGAAGUGUGGACGCCAGUCUGCAUGGAGCCGACCUUGAAAUACCACCCUUUAAUGUUUGAUGUUCUAACGUUGACCCGUAAUCCGGGUUGCGGACAGUGUCUGGUGGGUAGUUUGACUGGGGCGGUCUCCUCCUAAAGAGUAACGGAGGAGCACGAAGGUUGGCUAAUCCUGGUCGGACAUCAGGAGGUUAGUGCAAUGGCAUAAGCCAGCUUGACUGCGAGCGUGACGGCGCGAGCAGGUGCGAAAGCAGGUCAUAGUGAUCCGGUGGUUCUGAAUGGAAGGGCCAUCGCUCAACGGAUAAAAGGUACUCCGGGGAUAACAGGCUGAUACCGCCCAAGAGUUCAUAUCGACGGCGGUGUUUGGCACCUCGAUGUCGGCUCAUCACAUCCUGGGGCUGAAGUAGGUCCCAAGGGUAUGGCUGUUCGCCAUUUAAAGUGGUACGCGAGCUGGGUUUAGAACGUCGUGAGACAGUUCGGUCCCUAUCUGCCGUGGGCGCUGGAGAACUGAGGGGGGCUGCUCCUAGUACGAGAGGACCGGAGUGGACGCAUCACUGGUGUUCGGGUUGUCAUGCCAAUGGCACUGCCCGGUAGCUAAAUGCGGAAGAGAUAAGUGCUGAAAGCAUCUAAGCACGAAACUUGCCCCGAGAUGAGUUCUCCCUGACUCCUUGAGAGUCCUGAAGGAACGUUGAAGACGACGACGUUGAUAGGCCGGGUGUGUAAGCGCAGCGAUGCGUUGAGCUAACCGGUACUAAUGAACCGUGAGGCUUAACCUUACAACGCCGAAGGUGUUU